GAUGAACGCUGGCGGCGUGCCUAAUACAUGCCAGUCGAGCGAACAGACGAGGAGCUUGCUCCUCUGACGUUAGCGGCGGACGGGUGAGUAACACGUGGAUAACCUACCUAUAAGACUGGGAUAACUUCGGGAAACCGGAGCUAAUACCGGAUAAAAUGUUGAACCGCAUGGUUCAACAGUGAAAGACGUUCUUGCUGUCACUUAUAGAUGGAUCCGCGCCGCAUUAGCUAGUUGGUAAGGUAACGGCUUACCAAGGCAACGAUGCGUAGCCGACCUGAGAGGGUGAUCGGCCACACUGGAACUGAGACACGGUCCAGACUCCUACGGGAGGCAGCAGUAGGGAAUCUUCCGCAAUGGGCGAAAGCCUGACGGAGCAACGCCGCGUGAGUGAAGAAGGUCUUCGGAUCGUAAAACUCUGUUAUUAGGGAAGAACAAAUGUGUAAGUAACUAUGCACGUCUUGACGGUACCUAAUCAGAAAGCCACGGCUAACUACGUG
This 497-nucleotide ribosomal RNA is filed under the name uncultured bacterium. Its description in RNAcentral is "partial 16S ribosomal RNA". It matches the Rfam family "Bacterial small subunit ribosomal RNA", at positions 28 to 507 of the family's 1533-position model. The record is from RNAcentral.